Molecule: long non-coding RNA, 457 nt
Filed under: Dermacentor andersoni
Lineage: Eukaryota; Metazoa; Arthropoda; Arachnida; Ixodida; Ixodidae
Description: uncharacterized LOC126519740
Source: RNAcentral
UGUGUGUGUGUGGCAUUUUUGGUCAUGGAGCGUUUUGUGCCCUUAUUUGAGUCAUACGUGAGUGACAAACUCACCCACGCUUCCACCAUAGUAACUGAGGAUCUUCUGUUUCCUCCAGCCUCCAAGACAUUGCUCCCAUUUGUUCACCCCUUUUCACUCUUUUGUCUGUGCGCGUACAAGUCAACAGUGAAUGUGUCGCCGCAGAACCAGAAUGUUCGUAAGGAAAAAGGACAAAAGACACAGUAUUUGUUGACAAGCUGCCCACGCCAAGCCAUAAGAAGCUCAAUGGUCUCCAUAAUGACAACAGGUCUUCUUGAACUACAUGCCUCACCUUCAUAUGUUUGCAAGUUUACCAGCUAGAGGGCUGUGAGCCCUAUCAGGAAAGCAGCAGUCUACAGUUUUGUAUCGUACAGAGUGAGAAUGCUAAAUGUUGAUAUACAAGCUUACUUGUUUCUAA